AAAUGACAUAGCCAUUUCUUUAUGCAUCAGGUUUAUACCGAUACACUGAGUCACUGACGCCAACUGCGCGACAGGCCAUACGAAGGCUUACCCCGUGUUUCUCGCGGGCAUAAUCAACAAGCUCUCGCCUAAUCGCUGACUUU
Molecule: small RNA, 143 nt
Filed under: Photobacterium damselae subsp. damselae CIP 102761
Lineage: Bacteria; Pseudomonadati; Pseudomonadota; Gammaproteobacteria; Vibrionales; Vibrionaceae
Description: isrN Hfq binding RNA
Rfam family: isrN Hfq binding RNA
Source: Rfam by way of RNAcentral